AUACGGAGGGUGCAAGCGUUAUUCGGAAUCACUGGGCGUAAAGGACGCGUAGGCGGGUUGGCAAGUCAGAUGUGAAAUCCUACAGCUUAACUGUAGAACUGCAUUUGAAACUGCUAACCUAGAGUCUGGGAGGGGAAGAUGGAAUUAGUUGUGUAGGGGUAAAAUCCGUAGAUAUCACUAGGAAUACCGAAAGCGAAGGCGAUCUCCUGGAACAUAACUGACGCUAAGGCGUGAAAGCGUGGGGAGCAAACAGGAUUAGAAACCCUAGUAGUCC
Molecule: ribosomal RNA, 274 nt
Filed under: uncultured bacterium
Lineage: Bacteria
Description: partial 16S ribosomal RNA
Rfam family: Bacterial small subunit ribosomal RNA
Source: RNAcentral